UCUCAUCACACUCCACACUCU
Molecule: non-coding RNA, 21 nt
Filed under: Caenorhabditis elegans
Lineage: Eukaryota; Metazoa; Nematoda; Chromadorea; Rhabditida; Rhabditidae
Source: RNAcentral